GGAGAGGUGGCUGAGCGGUCGAAAGCGGCGGUCUUGAAAACCGUUGUGGGGCAACCCACCGGGGGUUCGAAUCCCUCCCUCUCCGCCA
Molecule: transfer RNA, 88 nt
Filed under: Gammaproteobacteria bacterium
Lineage: Bacteria; Pseudomonadati; Pseudomonadota; Gammaproteobacteria
Also listed under: 1 other name
Description: tRNA-Ser
Rfam family: tRNA
About the family: Transfer RNA (tRNA) molecules are approximately 80 nucleotides in length.
Source: RNAcentral